GGAAUUCGAUUAACGCGAAGAACCUUACCUGGGCUAGACAACGGCGGACCGUCCUAGAAAUAGGAUUUUCCCUUCGGGGACUGCCGGUUCAGGUGCUGCAUGGCUGUCGUCAGCUCGUGCCGUGAGGUGUUGGGUUAAGUCCCGCAACGAGCGCAACCCUCGUCCUUAGUUGCCACCAUUCAGUUGGGCACUCUAGGGAGACUGCCGGCGUUAAGCCGGAGGAAGGUGGGGACGACGUCAAGUCAUCAUGGCCCUUAUGUCCAGGGCCACACACGUGCUACAAUGGGCGGUACAAAGGGUUGCAAACCCGCGAGGGGGAGCUAAUCCCAAAAAGCCGCUCUCAGUUCGGAUUGGAGUCUGCAACUCGACUCCAUGAAGUUGGAAUCGCUAGUAAUCGCGGAUCAGCACGCCGCGGUGAAUACGUUCCCGGGCCUUGUCACACCGAAUCACUA
This 452-nucleotide ribosomal RNA is filed under the name uncultured soil bacterium. Its description in RNAcentral is "bacterial SSU rRNA". It matches the Rfam family "Bacterial small subunit ribosomal RNA", at positions 946 to 1384 of the family's 1533-position model. The record is from RNAcentral.